This 401-nucleotide ribosomal RNA is filed under the name Carnobacterium sp. AZTITEMP76. Its description in RNAcentral is "bacterial SSU rRNA". It matches the Rfam family "Bacterial small subunit ribosomal RNA", at positions 934 to 1336 of the family's 1533-position model. Lineage: Bacteria; Bacillati; Bacillota; Bacilli; Lactobacillales; Carnobacteriaceae. The record is from RNAcentral.
GGAGCAUGUGGUUUAAUUCGAAGCAACGCGAAGAACCUUACCAGGUCUUGACAUCCUUUGACCACUCGAGAGAUCGAGCUUUCCCUUCGGGGACAAAGUGACAGGUGGUGCAUGGUUGUCGUCAGCUCGUGUCGUGAGAUGUUGGGUUAAGUCCCGCAACGAGCGCAACCCUUAUUACUAGUUGCCAGCAUUCAGUUGGGCACUCUAGUGAGACUGCCGGUGACAAACCGGAGGAAGGUGGGGAUGACGUCAAAUCAUCAUGCCCCUUAUGACCUGGGCUACACACGUGCUACAAUGGAUGGUACAACGAGUCGCGAAGUCGUGAGGCCAAGCUAAUCUCUUAAAGCCAUUCUCAGUUCGGAUUGUAGGCUGCAACUCGCCUACANGAAGCCNNAANCGCU